This 216-nucleotide unclassified non-coding RNA is filed under the name rhizosphere metagenome. Its description in RNAcentral is "partial ribosomal RNA internal transcribed spacer region". The record is from RNAcentral.
GUAGGUGAACCUGCGGAAGGAUCAUUACCGAGUUCAUGCCCUUCGGGGUAGAUCUCCCACCCUUUGUAUACUAUACCUUUGUUGCUUUGGCGGGCCGCCUAGCUACUGGCUUCGGCUGGUAAGUGCCCGCCAGAGGACCCAAAACCCUGAAUAUUAGUGUCGUCUGAGUAAAAAGUUUAAUAUUUAAAACUUUCAACAACGGAUCUCUUGGCUCUG